This 8112-nucleotide long non-coding RNA is filed under the name Brassica napus (rape). RNAcentral describes it as "long non-coding RNA (BNAP_LNC017882)". Lineage: Eukaryota; Viridiplantae; Streptophyta; Magnoliopsida; Brassicales; Brassicaceae. The record is from RNAcentral.
CAAACUGGAAAAGAGGGAUAUAAAAAGGGCUAUAAAAAUGGUGUAAAUAAAAUAUCAACGGUAGGAUUUAAGAACAGAGCCGCAAAAGCUGCAGACGAUGGCUCUCCAAGAUCUGCAAUAAAUAGGUAUUAGACAAAACCUCGUUGAAGUCUUCAUGUCAGCGAUUCUUGCACCACGACCGCACCGAGAACACAUUCCCGCCGCUGGUUUGCUUGCUUUCAUCUUUCUCUUCUGGUCCACCAUGAAACAGAAACACACCAUUUUCUAUCCUUCUUCAAAUACAGAAAUCAAAGACAGUGAAUCUUGUAAUCACACCGGUUUGUGAUUAAUCGGUCCUAAAAAAGUUGUUGGUGUUUCUUGAUGAUGCAGUUAGGUUGGAGAUGUACAAAAAAACGACGUGAUAUGGCUUUAGUGAUGCACACGUGUUUGGUCUAGAAGUUAGUAAUUAAGAGUAUGCGUCGGGACAUUAUAUUAUAUAGAGAAUUGUAUGAUAUUUUAACGAUUUUUUGACAGUACACAUACGUACAACCUCCAACUCCUAACCGAAUUCAUCAUUUUAUUUUAUUAGUAGGGAGUACGCGAUUCGCGCAGAAUAUUAUUUUAUUGUUGUUACGUAUGGUUUUUGAAUGAUGUAAUUAUAUGGUCAUUAUUUAUUUGUGAAGAGCAUGAUUUAGUAUUUUAUUGUGUGAUGUAGUAUUAGGUUAUAGGUUAAUAUAUUAUGUGUUUGUCUUUUCAAUAACGUGUUGUUGUGUGUAUAGUAAUAUGUUAGACCAUCUCCAACUCAUCUCUAUAAUAGAGAUCUUUAAAAUAGAGGCAAAAAUAGAGGUGGUGUUUUUGCUCCAAUGUGUUCCUCUAUAAUAGAGGAAUGCUAUAUUUGCCUCUAUAAAUAGAGGAAAGCUUUUUUUUCUUCUAUAUUUAAGGGAAAAAAUAGCAUUCCUCUAUUUAUAAAGGUAAAUAUAGCAUUCCUCUAUUAUAGAGGAACACAUUGGAGAAAAAACACUAUCUCUAUUUUUUCCUCUAUUUUAAAAAUCUCUAUUAUAGAGAUGGGUUGGAGAUGCUCUUAGUGGUGAAAUGAGCUUCUGAUGUAAAGCAUCUUGAAUUUCAAUAAAUUUUCAUUUAAGCAUUUAUUGAUUCUAACAUUAACGGUUCAAGCGUCAACAUUGUAUUUAAUAUUUUCACAUUUUUGAACGCUGUUAUUUUUGUUAACAACGUCGAUGAUGCCUCACUGGAUUAAUUUCUGUUGUUACGUGAAGAUGAAGGCACUAUACGUCACUGAUGAAUCAGUGGGAUUUUGGCACGUGGCCGUGGGGAAAUAUAGUUGGAGGUUGAGUAUGUUUUUUGUUUGUCUUCCUUACCGGAAAUUAAUUAUGGGUCUUGCGGAAGACAUAAAUGGGCCUAAAUAUAUUCAAUUUGCAUUCUUUAAAAGUUGGGCUAGCUUAUUGUAAGCCCAAAGUCUUAGUUUUCAGGAGAUUUUUCCAAGAUUUCACCGAAGAUAUAAUUUCAAGGUUAUGAAUGGUUACCUCGUUCAAAGUCAAACGGAUUGAGCAUAAUAAAACGACAGAACAAAUAUGUAAUGUGUAUGUUUUGUUUUGUAGGCUCUGCCCUACACUAUAAUAAUUAGGAACGUAAUUAUGUACUUACAUGCACGAUUGAUAAAAAUAAAAUGAUCACUUAUACUCUACAGAACAUCAUAAUGCUCUUGAAAAAAAAAAAAAACAUCAUAAUGCUCUUGAAGCAAAAUUAUCACAACUCACAAGUAGUUAUGUACUUAUUUGCACGAUUAAUCAAAACAGAUUGGUAACUUAUAUAGGUAUUUGACUAUUGGAUAAUUCUGACGUCAAGACAAGCAAGUGUUAGGUAAUAAUAAUUUAUAUACAAAUGGCAGAUAAAUGAUAAAAUAAGUCGAGAGAGAGUAGAGCUACAAGUCAACGACGUGUUAGGUCGCGCUGCGCGCGUCUACCAACUAAUCAGGUUGCUACUUCGUUAACUAUUUUCUUGACGACUCUCGGGCCGUUCGUUUCUCCAAUUCAAUGAACCAUCUGGAUGAAGAUGAGAGUUUUGUUCGUUUAGGCAUUAAAAGUACAAGUCAUCUGGAUGGUUCAUCCGAAUGAAUUUUAAAAAUUUAGGCUUAAUUUUGAAAAUCAGCUGGCUGAUCCAAAUUGAAUCAUCUGGAUGGAGAUGAGUUUGUCAAAAUGGUAUAAUGUUUAUUAUACUCUCAUGUAAUUAACAAAUUACAAACUUAAACCUAAUAUCAUUUUGUCACUCCUGAAAAAUGAAAAAUGACAAAACCACAAAAACGCAUUUUCCCACCAAAACCACAAAACGCAUUUUUCCGCCAAAACCACAAUACACAAUUUUAGCUAAAAUCGUAAUUUUCUCGUAAAAAAUGAACUUUAUCGCCAAAGCAGAUUUUUCCAGUCAAAAUCACAAAAAUGCACUUUCACAUCAAAACAUGUUUCUUCGCAAAAACUGCAAAACACGUUUUUCCGUCAAAACCGCAAAAACGUGUUUUUCCUCCAAAACCGCAAAAACACGUUUUCCCGUCAAAACUGUAAAAACACGAAUUCUUACAAAAACGUUUUUCCCGCCAAAAUCACAAAAUGUAUUUUCUCACAAAACCGUAAAAAUAUGUUCUCCCGCCAAAACCGUAAAAUUGCGUUUUUCGGCAAAACUGCGAAAAACACGUUUCCCCGCCAAAACCGCAAAACGUGUUUUCCUGCCAAAACCGUAAAAACACGUUUUCUCGCCAAAACCAUAAAACGCAUUUUUCCGCCAAAAUUGUAAAAUUACGUUUUCCCACCAAAACCGCAAAAAUGUGGUUUCUCGCCAAAACCAUAAAAGCGCAUUUUCCUGCCAAAACCGUAAAAGCGCAUUUUCCUGCCAAAAUCGUAAAAACAUGGUUUCUCGCCAAAACCGCAAAAAUGUAUUUUUCCGCCAAAACUGUAAAAUUACGUUUUCCCGCCAAAAUCGUGAAAAUGCGUUUUCCCACCAAAAUCACAAAAACGUAUUUUCCGCCAAAAUCGCAAAACGUGUUUUCCCGCCAAAACCUUAAAAACGUGUUUUCCCGCCAAAAUCACAAAAAUAUAUUUUCCUCUGAAACUGCAAAAUUUGAGUCCAUGAUGCUCUUACCAUUGAUUUCAUCUUUCAAAUUUUAGGUUUAUAAAAUUUUGAGUUUCCACUUUGAAUUUCUACUUUGAGUUGUUUAGAAGUUUAUUCAAAUUUGAGUUUGUAUUAUGAGUUUUAUUAAAAGUUAUAGUUGUAGUUUAUUUUAAUGCAAAUUUAAAUAAAAAUAAAUAAAUUUAUAUGAAAUAAAAAUUUAUAAAUGUCAAAAUGCUAAUUUUAAAAUAAUUUCAGUGUAAAUAUAUUUUAGACUAAAUAAAAAAAUUAGUAUAGUUAAAAUUAAUAUCAAACAUAUGAUUAGAUCAAAUAAGGGUAUAUUUGUAAUUUUUUUAUUACACUCAUCUGGAUGGAAAUGAAAAAUAAGAAACGAACAUAAAAUCCAUCCAAAUGACUCAUUUAGAUGGCUCAUCUGGAUAGAGAAACGAACAGCUCCUAAAAUCUGAAUGGAUCAUAUAGAUGGAUCACAUAUAUGGAGCAGAUGGAUGGAGAUGACAGAUGGAGAAACGAACAAGCCCUAAAUGGAAUCACUUAACAUGACUCGUGUGUAACCCUAGUUAUAUCUCGCAACCUCUCCUUUCUAUAGACAACACUAAGCAGAAGAUAAUGAAGUGAAAAAGAAACAAUGGAGACAAUCUCAGCCCCGGACGAUAUCCCCAUCGUCGAUCUAAGUAACCCAAACGAAGACCUGGUGGCGCUUCAUAGAUCCUAAAAAACUAAACUUCUAAUUAAUAUAACUUCUCUACUUGUUGACCCUCCCGACCGCAUAUAAUUGUCGUAUUAAACUCGUUCGACCGAUCGAGAAGAGUCAUAGGGCCAAUCCACUUGUCACUAGUCAGUUUUAAGUUGGAAACGCCUUUCCAUAGACACAUCAAUAAGCAGAAGGGAGUGAAGCUAGUGAAAAGAAACAAUGGAGACAAUCUCAGCCUUGGACGAUAUCCCGGUCAUCGAUCUAAGUAACCCAAACGAAGACCUGGUGGCGCGUGCGGUGGUGAAAGCCAGCGAAGAGUGGGGCAUUUUCCACGUUGUUAACCAUUGGAUCCCCCCGGAGCUGAUAGGGCAGCUAAAGGAAGUUGGAACAGAGUUCUUCCAGCUUCCGGAGUCGGAGAAGAAAGCCCUAGCUAGCGAAGCCAAAAGACUCCAGGAACAUGGAAGGUUACGUAGCAAAUUUAAAUGGCUGGGCUGAUCAUCUCUUCCACAGGAUAUGGCCACCGUCGAGAGUCAACCACAGAUUCUGGCCUAAUAACAUUCAAGAUUACAGGGAGGUGAACGAGGAGUACGCAAAGGAGAUAAAUAAUCUGUCGGAGAAAAUCCUUGGGUGGUUGUCCGAAGGAUUCGGGUUACGUCGUGAGGCAUUGAAGGAAGAUAUUGGGGGAGAAACGGUGGAGUAUCUGAUGAAGGUCGUCUUCUAUUGGCCGUGUCAAGAUCAGGAUGUGAAGUAUGAACUCCGCAUCAUACUGAUCCCAGUGGGAUCACGUUCUUAAAUUCGUUGAGAACACCUAUGUUCUAGCCGAAAACAAAAGAAUAAAGAGAAAUCUCUUAACUUUUAUUAAUCAAAUCAUAAACUCCAUACAAACUUAAAGCCUAGACGGCUAUAUAUAAUAAAACCAUAAAACCCUAAAACAAUAAAAAUAACUAUCAAAAUUAAUAUAAUUAAUAAAAUAAACAAUAAGAUAUUUGGAAAUAUUCCAAAUAUUUAUCUGCAUCAUUUCUUCAAAACGUCAUCUAUGAUCGAUAUGGUGAGGAUAUGAUGAUGGUCGAGCCAAUUGAUUUUGUAUUGAGCAAAUAUGCGUUCAAGACGUCAGACGCACACGCAAGAGAUUUCUUUAGUGUUGUCAAAAGUGGAGCAUCAAAGUCUGAAGAAGUUAAUUGGUAUGUACUAGACGAUUUAUAUCACGUGGCUACUCUUUCAUCAAUCCUUGCAGUGAAGUACUUCUCCAAAAGAUAAUAAUUCCUCUCGUGGUAGACAGCCGCUUGGAACUAGGUAAUUUACUUUUUGAAGAUUAUAAUGCUAAUUGGGCUUUUGAGAAAAUCAGCCCAAUAAAAUCUUCAAAACGUCAGCGUAAUGCGGAAGAGCAUAAGGAUUUAAGAUCAUUCAAUCUCACGUUGACGUUGUUCAAGCUUGAAACAAAGUUUGAUGUUCGAGAUCGGAAGUGGGCAAUUUUCAUCGUUUAGCAGUUAAGAUUCGAGGACGAAUCUUUCCAACCCGGAGAGAAUGAUGCAGAAAAGAUAAAUAUCUUAUUUAUUUAGUGUUUUAUUUAGAGUUUAUUUAUUAUUAAGAUAAAUUUUCUCUAAUGUUUUAGGGUUUUUAUGUUUUCUUAUAUAUAGUCUUUGAGGCUAUGGUUUUAUGUAAUUUAUGAGUUGAUAAUUUGAUUAAUAAAAAUUAAAAGUUCUCUCUUUGUUCCUUGUUUUCGGUAGAUCAUUGGUGAUCUCAACGAAUUUAAGAAAACAUUGAUCUUAGGCAUUCUUAGAAUAAAUAAGAUCUUUGUGAUUAUUCUAGUUUUUCGGGUAUUCUCAAAAUCAACGGAUCUCUAGUUCUAUAGCUUCUGCUACGUCAAUCACUGAGCUUCUAAUAGUGUGAACGAUCCUCAACACCAACCGAGAAACUUGCUUGUGACUACACCCUUCAAAUUCCGAUGUAAUAUUUUUUUUAGUGAAACAUAGUUACUUCCCUUCAUAAGUUGCCUAGUACUUGUAAGUGGAACUAGUAGUUAUUACAAUUGUAGAAUUGACGUCUGAAUAUGAAUGACCAUGCAUAUGUUUGCAGCCUACUUGACAAAAAUUCAAAGCCGGAUUUGGGGACAGCCGGAUAAAACAUUGGUCUCGACUCCAAAAUUUUUGGACAAAUUUUAUAUAGAUAAAGGCCCCAAAUUAUGAAAACAAUUUUUUUUUAUAAAAUUCUUUAAAAAAAUAUUUCAAGCCCCCAAAAUUUCAGAUCCGGCUAUGUAAAAAUUAUAUUUAAACUAAAUACCCCAGUUAAAUGUUUUUGAUAAGCAACAUUUACUUCAAACAGACAAAAUAAUAGCAAUUGUAUUUUUUUUCUUUCUGAAACUUAACAAGGACAAACUUCCCUGCAGCUCUGUUUUGAAUUUCUUGCUUGUCAGAAAACAGUGGAGGUGAAGUUUUUCUUCAUUAAAUGGUGAUAUGUCAUUAUGAUAACUGCAGCAUGUUUUGAGGACAAUGCAAACUUCACCGCUGCUAUUCUUAUAAGUUAAUUGAUUAAGGAAACUAUUUAUGAAUUUUAUGACGACUUCUUAAAGGAUCGAUUCUGCGGCCUUAUUGGUAUCAGGUAAUGGGGUUAAUCCAGGAGGUCUCAAUUCACUGUUUCUCAUCAGUAAUCCAUUAUUUUGCCCAGCUAGCAAUAGACUCAUCCACAGACUUAUAGUCUUGGAUUCUGGGAUUCCUCCAAUCAAAUAGGACCUUUGGUAAUAACACCGUUCUUUGGUGAUCAUAUCUCGAUUUUUUUAACUCUGUCCAAAGGUCUAGAGGAUUCUCUAUAGUCAGAUACUGAUCUUUGAGACUCUUAAUAAGAUGAUGGCUAAUAAUUAAUAUUGCCAUGUAUCAAUCUUUCUCAUUUGGCAUUAUCGCCUUUUGUGAUUCAUUCACCAAGUCCUUUGACUUUAGGAUAAACUCAGUAUCCAGUGCUCAUUUCAAAUAAUUAUCUCCUGAGAGAUUUAGGGCAGCAAAAUCCAAGUUGAUUUUCGACAUCUCAAAUCAUAUAUCAAUCAAUUUUAGAUCUCAUAAAAUAUUUAACAUACGGCCAUAAACAAGACAUGCUAUCAAGUCAAUACAUUUCUAAUAAGCAAACAAGCCACACGGCCAAAGGUGAUAUAAUGCAAUAAGGCCACACGGCCAAAGUGAUACAUGAUGCAUAAUAAGUCACACAGAUUUAUCAAGCAAGGGUAUCGACCAAACAAACAAUUUCUAUAUGUUUUCAUGCGGCCAUAUGGUUAUAAUGCAAACCUAGAAUACUGAUUCUAUAUGUACAAAAAUAGAAUUAUGGAACCUUAAUUUAAAACAAUCAGAUCAUGCAAAGGUGAUAAUAAUCAGAUCAUGCGCAUAAUAUAAACAUGUUGGUCAGAAUGAUAUAUGAUGCAAACUGGCCAUAUAGAGAAUUGUAUAUGUGCAAGGGUAAUAUUAAAACAUUCAUUCUUAGCAAUCGGAUUCUAUAUGUGCAAGGGUAAUAUUAAAACAUUCAAUCAAGGUUUAGCAAUUAAUCAAUCAGUUUCAGGUAUGAGAUUUAGCUAGACUAACAAUCAGAUUCAACUAGGUUUUAUCAAGACUAGCAAUUAGGGUUUUAUCAAUCAAUCAGCUUCUAGCAAAUAAUCUUAAACCUCAGAACAGUUGAUUAUAUCAUGAAACUAUCAACCUAGUAUAAUAUGAACCUCAAAACAUUCAAUUUGGAUUAUGCAAUACACGGAUUCUAUUUUAGGGUUUAUCAAUUCGAAUUAGGGUUUAUAUUAUAACAGAUUCUAACAUGCAAUAUUAAACCUCAAAUCAUUCAAUCAAGUUAUAAAAAUUAUCAAUCCUAACUCACACGGAUUUAAACCUCAAAGAAACAUUCAAUCAAUCAAAUAAAACAAUCCAUGCACUUAUAUAGGAAAUUACACCGUCGUAGAUAAAUGGAAAGAUUAUAAAUCAUAAUCUUGGUUAUGAGCCAUCCACGAUCUGGUUCAUAACAAAAUUCUCAUUUUUGAUACAAUAUUACCAUUAUACGACAAUAUAAGCCCAUUGUAAAACCCAGGCCAAACUGGAAAAGAGGGAUAUAAAAAGGGCUAUAAAAAUGGUGUAAAUAAAAUAUCAACGGUAGGAUUUAAGAACAGAGCCGCAAAAGCUGCAGACGAUGGCUCUCCAAGAUCUGCAAUAAAUAGGUAUUAGACAAAACCUCGUUGAAGUCUUCAUGUCAGCGAUUCUUGCACCACGACCGCACCGAGAACACAUUCCCGCCGCUGGUUUGCUUGCUUUCAUCUUUCUCUUCUGGUCCACCAUGAAACA